This 330-nucleotide ribosomal RNA is filed under the name Triticum aestivum (bread wheat). RNAcentral describes it as "partial small subunit ribosomal RNA". The record is from RNAcentral. Lineage: Eukaryota; Viridiplantae; Streptophyta; Magnoliopsida; Poales; Poaceae.
AUGCAAAACCUAUACAAAGUGCGCAGGCUCAACCGAACUGCAUGCACCGGACAGGUAUCCAUGAACCGGCAGCUGCAUCCGACCACUUCCCCUCCUGGAUUGGGUCGAAGGGAGCUCAUCUUUUUCGCCAUUCCACUUCCAUCUGCUUGCCCUUCGUCGACUUCACCACCCCCAUGCACAUUACAUUCUCACACUAAAACAUCUCAACCCAAAGUAUAUGUAUGUAUAUACGAAACUAAGCCAACUAGGAGUAGAUAUGCGUCGAUCCUUGGUUGCUAUGGAUCUCUGGGGUCGGGUGAGUUGGGUGCAAGGAUGGCUUUGGUUUUGUAG